UACGAAGGGGCUAGCGUUGCUCGGAAUCACUGGGCGUAAAGGGUGCGUAGGCGGGUCUUUAAGUCAGGGUGAAAUCCUGGAGCUCAACUCCAGAACUGCCUUUGAUACUGAAGAUCUUGAGUUCGGGAGAGGUGAGUGGAACUGCGAGUGUAGAGGUGAAAUUCGUAGAUAUUCGGAAGAACACCAGUGGCGAAGGCGGCUCACUGGACUGGUAUUGACGCUGAUGUGCGAAAGCGUGGGAGCAAACAGGG
This 251-nucleotide ribosomal RNA is filed under the name uncultured bacterium. RNAcentral describes it as "partial 16S ribosomal RNA". It matches the Rfam family "Bacterial small subunit ribosomal RNA", at positions 524 to 777 of the family's 1533-position model. The record is from RNAcentral.